RNAcentral lists this long non-coding RNA (199 nucleotides) under Elaeis guineensis (African oil palm). Its description in RNAcentral is "long non-coding RNA (EGUI_LNC015236)". Lineage: Eukaryota; Viridiplantae; Streptophyta; Magnoliopsida; Arecales; Arecaceae. The record is from RNAcentral.
ACCGAGCUUUUAUAAUAAGCGGUCUCCUUUUAGCCUUCUAUAAGAACCAAACUUCGUCCGAACUUCCAUAGCGGAUGGAUAUCGAACGAGCUUCUACGACGGACGGACUCUGACAGCUGGAUUUCUACAACGAUCGAUCGCCUCCGAUGUCUGCCGAACCUCCACGACGCCAUCCGAAGUCCACCACCGGUCGACCCUC